Molecule: long non-coding RNA, 2581 nt
Organism: Leopardus geoffroyi (Geoffroy's cat)
Lineage: Eukaryota; Metazoa; Chordata; Mammalia; Carnivora; Felidae
Exons: 9
Source: RefSeq, a predicted model, not a curated record
UAUUGGAAAGGCCGGACUGUGGCUUGGGGCAGCGUGCACAGCCUCAGGCUCCUUAGGCUUUGUGACCUUGCGCGGGUUGCCUCACCCCCGUGAACUUCUCCGCUGACAAACCUGCAAAGUGGGAUGCUGAAGUGCAAGCUGGUGCUAAACCGUAAAGCUCGUGCCCCUCCCGCACAGGCCUUCAAUAGAUGGCCUCUGUUUCGUUUGCUGGCUCCGGAUAGACUUGAGACCUGGUGGCCAAGCCGCUGGCAUCCCCAGUGAGCCAGCUUCUCUGUCUAAUCUGAGAAGAAGCGAGGCUGGAAUUCCUGGUGGAAGGUUCUCCAGGUUCCCUUUGUCGAAGGACAGAUUUACCCUGACCGCAGCUACUAUAGGAGAAUCUGAAACAUGUGCCAGUGUCUUGGCCCGAAAGUGAAGGGUGGGGGGGGGGCUCCCCAAAUGGCCUUCACGUUGGGCUUUUUCUUCCUCCGGCACUGGGGAUGCCAGGCCCUGAGCCCACAGCGCUAGCUGUAAACCAGAGCCCCGGAUGUGAUGAGUGCGCAGAUUUUGGUGUUCGUGCCCCUAAAUAGCCUUCUGAGAGCGAGCGGGGGUCCUGAAGACACCCUAAUGUCUAAGCCUAGUGCGACUCCGUUAGGUGAGGAGGUUUUCACUGCCCUUAAGAGUUUCGGGAAGGGAAGGUGAAGUGUACGUCGAGGAAAUCGGGGAGGACGAGCUCUCCCUUCUUUCUUCCUUGCACCGCCCCGUAAGCGUGGUGGAGGGUGGUCCUGCCAGGAGAGCAUCCUCCAGGAAGCCUCCUAGGAAGGAAGGCCCCCGGGCCUCCUAUCGGGUGUCCUGAAGCAGCAUCUGCCUUUCCAGAGCCCCCUGCUCCCUCCUCCCCCCAUUGCUAUGCACCCUGAAGCUUGUGAAACCCUGGUGUAGCUGGUGGGGUGACCUGGCUCCAGGUGACGUGGUAGCAUUGCCAGUUCCCGGAGAGACCAAGUCCCCAGAGCCAGCCAGAGGCUGGGGCGGUGGUGAGAUGGCAACUCUUUCCUGUGCGUGAGCACUGUCGGCAGGCUGCUUCAGAGCGCGCUGAAAACUCGGUCACUGGGCAGCCUGGAUGAGCAGCAUGACCACGGGAGCCUUCGCUUAAAGGAAACCUGAGAUCCCACGCUGUUACCACACCUGCCGGUGCACGUGGCUGGAUGUGGGAGCCCCUCAGUUGGGAAGUUUACAUUGCCUCAGUCCCAGCAGACGGCACUAAGGAUAGCUGUUCUUCUGGUGGAGAGAACAUAUGAUUGGUCAGCUAUACAUCUGGAUCCGUCUCUGGUCCAACCAGUGAUCACUGAUGAGGUAGCUCUUCAGCAGUUCGAACGAGAGAGGCCAGGCUGCCAAGGCGUACUGAGCAUGUGUCGCGCCCUCAGGGAUUUAUGCAUCUGUAGAAUAUUACCACCAAAGGCAAGUGAAGACAUGAUCUCCAAACCCAGCUUUUUCAGGUAUCCUGGCAUCGGCAGAGUUCUCUUCCCCUCGUCUUUGGGAAGUUUCGCAAGCUGGGCCCGUCCUGUGUGUAGCCAACAAUGAUGUUUUGUGUCUUCAUCCCGUUUGAAGGGCCUGGCACACAAACAGCCCAGCCUAUUCAUUCCUAGAGCAAUUUUACAUAUGCAAGACCGAAGCCAAGAUGAAUGUCUUCAUCCUCGACGUGCUCAUUCAGACACGUUCUGAUUUUGCAGUGUGCUUGCAAGGAGCCCCUUAUUCAAGCAGACCAAGAAAACGUGAGACUUUCUACACGUGUAUUCACUUCACAGCCAACAUGUCAAUGUAUGGAUGGUUUUAUUUCUGGUGACCAGCAAAAUAGAUGAAAGGAAGAACGGUGAUUAUCAGAAGGCAAGCCAGUGAUUGUUAAAAGCCACCUGUGUUUGUGUGUCCACCACCGUGCUGAAAGAUCGUUCUGGAGGCUGGACGUCCCAGAUCACAGGCCCAGUACAUUCAGUACUGGGUGAAGACCCGCUUCUUGGUUCAAGGACGUCUGUCUUCUCACUGCGCCCUCACGGAGGAAGCAUGAAAACGAAACAGCUGUUUUAAACAGUGAGUAUUCAUUAAUUCACUUUUCACUUACUUAUUUUGUAAUGUGUAUUUGCUAAGCAGCUACUAUGUACCAAGGAUUGGAUUAAGCGUUGGGGAUAAAAGAGUGAGCAAAACCAAACACCCAAACAGCCUGUUUUCUGCCUCAUGGAAUGUGUAGCCUCUUGGUGAAGACCGAGGUUAAGGAAAUGAUUUUUAAAAUGUAAAUUGUGUAUCUAUUACCUGGCAAGAUGGAAUAACUCAUGUGGCAUGCAUUUGGGAAUCAGUACAACAUUUUUGAUGGAAGUAACAUUGAACUGAGAUCAGAAGGAGUUGAGGGAAAUUUUCUAUGUCAGGACAAAGUCACCCAAGCCAGUUCCUGAAACACUCUUGGGGGAAUUGCAGCUCUGUGGUUCUCUGCUACAUGGUGGGCGUCACCCCAGGACUGAGAUCUCCGUGCCCAUCACAUCACACUUUCUCUGCUCAUUGUCUUAAGAGAAAACUUUAGGGGCGCCUGAGUGGCUCAGUUGGUUAAGCGUUUGACUCU